AGUGGCGAACGGGUGAGUAAUAUAUCGGAACGUAUCCAAUAAUGGGGGAUAACUAAUCGAAAGGUUAGCUAAUACCGCAUACGCCCUACGGGGGAAAGCAGGGGAUCUUCGGACCUUGCGUUAAUGGAGCGGCUGAUAUCUGAUUAGCUAGUAGGUGAGGUAAAGGCUCACCUAGGCUUCGAUCAGUAGCUGGUCUGAGAGGACGACCAGCCAUACUGGAACUGAGACACGGUCCAGACUCCUACGGGAGGCAGCAGUGGGGAAUUUUGGACAAUGGGCGCAAGCCUGAUCCAGCCAUUCCGCGUGAGUGAAGAAGGCCUUCGGGUUGUAAAGCUCUUUCGCAAGGGAAGAAACGAUACCGACGAAUAAUCGGUGUUAAUGACGGUACCUUGAUAAGAAGCACCGGCUAACUACGUGCCAGCAGCCGCGGUAAUACGUAGGGUGCGAGCGUUAAUCGGAAUUACUGGGCGUAAGGCGUGCGCAGGCGGUUUUGUAAGUCAGAUGUGAAAUCCCCGGGCUCAACCUGGGAACUGCGUUUGAAACUACAAGGCUAGAGUAUGGUAGAGGGGGGUAGAAUUCCACGUGUAGCAGUGAAAUGCGUAGAGAUGUGGAGGAAUACCAAUGGCGAAGGCAGCUCCCUGGACUAAUACUGACGCUCAUGCACGAAAGCGUGGGGAGCAAACAGGAUUAGAUACCCUGG
Molecule: ribosomal RNA, 700 nt
Filed under: uncultured beta proteobacterium
Lineage: Bacteria; Pseudomonadati; Pseudomonadota; Betaproteobacteria
Description: bacterial SSU rRNA
Rfam family: Bacterial small subunit ribosomal RNA
Source: RNAcentral